AUUGAACGCUGGCGGCAUGCCUUACACAUGCAAGUCGAACGGUAACAGGUCUUCGGAUGCUGACGAGUGGCGAACGGGUGAGUAAUACAUCGGAACGUGCCCGAUCGUGGGGGAUAACGCAGCGAAAGCUGUGCUAAUACCGCAUACGAUCUACGGAUGAAAGCGGGGGAUCGCAAGACCUCGCGCGGACGGAGCGGCCGAUGGCAGAUUAGGUAGUUGGUGGGAUAAAAGCUUACCAAGCCGACGAUCUGUAGCUGGUCUGAGAGGACGACCAGCCACACUGGGACUGAGACACGGCCCAGACUCCUACGGGAGGCAGCAGUGGGGAAUUUUGGACAAUGGGGAACCCUGAUCCAGCCAUGCCGCGUGCAGGAUGAAGGCCUUCGGUUGUAACUGCUUUGUACGGACGAAAGGUACUUCUAAUAAAGUAGGACGUCAUGACGGUACCGUAAGAAUAAGCAACCGGCUAACUACGUAGCCAGCAGCCGCGGUAAACUCGG
Molecule: ribosomal RNA, 500 nt
Filed under: uncultured bacterium
Lineage: Bacteria
Description: bacterial SSU rRNA
Rfam family: Bacterial small subunit ribosomal RNA
Source: RNAcentral